Long non-coding RNA from Chinchilla lanigera (long-tailed chinchilla), 2625 nucleotides. RefSeq lists it as uncharacterized. The transcript is spliced from 5 exons. The record is from RefSeq and is a predicted model, not a curated record. NCBI's taxonomy places the organism in Eukaryota, Metazoa, Chordata, Mammalia, Rodentia, Chinchillidae.
GCAGCGCUGCCUGCCCCCCAGCCUGCAGUUCUCUCGCUCUGACGGGUGGCAGAGGGGCCUCUUGAACCCCAGGCAAAAAGCAGGUUCUCAUAGUGGUUUUCGUCGAAAUCGUUCUCAAUGUAAGGGGCCGUCACCCCCAGCCCUCCCUUGGGGUAGAGGAGGGGGCGCGCAGGACGCCUUUCUCCAGCCAAAGCUGCCUUCAAAGCUUGCUUUUCGGUGCUGGGUCUCACUAAACUGCCCCGCUGGCCUCCGGUCUAUGAGGCCGCUCCUGCCUCAGCCUCCCCAGCAGUGAGCGUUACCGGCCGGUGUCGUCACGCGCACACACCGCCUGCCUAUUCCGCGUCGCACUGGGACUCGGCUGCAGCGCCAGCUGGAAGGGUCACCUCGACUCAGUAAGGCGAAUGGGUGGUUCCUCAUUUUUCUUCAUCUUCUUGUUUUUUUCUUUCUUUUUUUUUUUUUUUUACUUUGUAGCAAAAUCCCUUCUUGUGAAGGAAAUAUUUCAAUCCAUUUGUUGGUAAAUAUUUCAAGCAAAUAAAAACAAAUACAGUGGGAUAAAACUGCAGCGCGGUCGUGGAGACUGCCCACCUGGCUUCAUCGGCAGCUCCUUAGGCAAUGAUCAAAAAUCCCGUGGGUUGAGAAAAAUUCUUUGAAAAACCUCACUUUGAAAUAAAAAGUGACUUAAAAAUUAGAGGCCAACUUCAGGCUGAUUGUCGAAAACAGCGUGUUCCCUGCAGCCCUCAGAGUCAGAAGCCACAACACCUGGGCCGCUUCCUCUUCUCUCUGAGAUCAAGCGGGCAGUGAGGGCCGCACCCGCUGCCCUCCCGGGUCUGCCUUCCAAGCGCCGCUCAGCGAGACCUCAGCGGGCCUGGAGUCUGGUUUAUGCAUUUCUCUGAAACCCAAGCUUUUGAAAUGGAAUCCCCAUGAAGAUGCUCAUAAAGGCACUGCCUUCUUUUCUUUCAAACCAGAAAAGAAAUAAAGAGCCCUAAAAACUUUAUUCUGUGGAUAGAAUGUUUAUGACAUUUUAAUGUCAUUCCUUAAAUCCCUAAACCAUAUGCACAGUUCAGACUUUAAUUAACACUAAUUAUGUUUUUGGCCUUUUGAACCAUGACUACUAGCUAGGGUGCUACUGCUGUGAGUUUUCAAAAGGAGAUGGAACAGCCUUUUGCUCUUUCCUGCUUGCUUUUCCCCUACAAGAGCGCUAGCACGCACCGACAGUGACCCACCCGGCCUGUGUGGAAGAAUGGACCGUGUGGGAGUCGGUGGUCUCUCGGUGUCCCUGGGAUAAAACGGCAAGAGGAUUAAGAAAACGGCAAGAGGAUUAAGAAAACAAAGACAAGAGAAAACAGCUGGGGAUUUCCUGGGUCUGUGCUAGGCACAGGGCGGUCCUCAUAAAAUUGUGAUUUGCUGACUCAUGCUUAGGAAGCCACUGUGAUGGUCAACUGCCUCGAAGAGACUUGGGUCUGUGACCGCAGAGACCGAUUAUCAUGCAAUAUGCCCAGAUGCUUAGGGAACUGUUGUCAGUCCUGUUGCAUUCCUGGUGGGGCUGGUGCCCAAGACAUGCAGACAGCAGGGCCGAUCACACACACUGUGCAGUGUGGCUCAGAGUCCCUGGGAAAGGGGUAAUUUGAGCAGAGUUUAGGAAAGUGACAACACACAGGUAACACAAAUGCCACUCUCGGCAUUAGAACUGGUCUUGGCCAUGGAUCACAAUGGGGUGAAAUGGACUGAAAUUGAGUUUACACAGGAUCUACCCAUGUACAACAAUAAGCCAACCUACACUAAUGGAAUAUUUUCUGUGUAAAGAGCUCCCAGCAACAUACUUGGAAACUUAUGUCUAUAAACGCAAGUCUGGAGAUAGAAAGCUGACUGAACUUCUAGUGCCACUGUAAAUACUUGAGCUACAUUAGUGUCAGCAUUUUUCACCAGCAAAUGCAAUUUAACUAAGGAUCCUUGCUGAAAAGUACCAUGUGUGCCACAGCAGCUCAGGAAUCCAGCGGCAAGGGCAAGUUCACAGGCUUGGGUCACACACCCAUUAUAACUGCGUGGUGUGAUAUGUUGACCAGGCAGUUUCUCAUGAUACUUCUGUGAUGGAACUGGAACAUUACAGCAAGCCCCAGAAGCACAGUCCUGGAGUGAUUUAUAAUUUUGGUGUGGUGAAGUGGUGAACACUGUUAAAAUAGCUUUCGAAGAAGAGUGGCUGCUGAGCGGAAAAAAAAAAUCAACUACAAGUGAAGUAAUAGGCUUACCAAUAAUUCACUCUGGAAUACUAGAAAGCACAUGGUGUCAGAACUGAAGUUUUGCUCCUCUUGUCAUUUGCUAACUCUUUGUACUAGAGUUGAUUUUAAAAUUUUCUGAACCUUAAUUUUUUUCUCUACAAAAUGGAAAAAUGAAUCUAAUCCUAAAGGACUGUUGUGAAUAUGAGAAACUGUAUGGAAUCAUCAAACCCAUUUCUGGCACACAGUAGGUAUGCAAUAUCAGUUCAACCUCUGCUUCUCUUUCCUCCUCUAUCCAGUAUACCAUCUACCUAGCAUUCAUGCAGAUCAAGUAUCUUGUAGACUGUCUUAUUGGGUUACUGGACAGUUAUUCUGACUUUUUUUUUUGUCUGAAAGUCUUCCACUAUCUAUA